GGGUUGUGAGGUUAAGCGACUAAGCGUACACGGUGGAUGCCCUGGCAGUCAGAGGCGAUGAAGGGCGUGCUAAUCUGCGAUAAGCGCCGGUAAGGUGAUAUGAACCGUUAUAACCGGCGAUACCCGAAUGGGGAAACCCAGUGUGAUUCGUCACACUAUCAUUAACUGAAUCCAUAGGUUAAUGAGGCGAACCGGGGGAACUGAAACAUCUAAGUACCCCGAGGAAAAGAAAUCAACCGAGAUUCCCCCAGUAGCGGCGAGCGAACGGGGAGGAGCCCAGAGCCUGAAUCAGCAUGUGUGUUAGUGGAAGCGUCUGGAAAGGCGCGCGA
RNAcentral lists this ribosomal RNA (329 nucleotides) under Salmonella enterica. RNAcentral describes it as "partial 23S ribosomal RNA". It matches the Rfam family "Bacterial large subunit ribosomal RNA", at positions 1 to 357 of the family's 2925-position model. Lineage: Bacteria; Pseudomonadati; Pseudomonadota; Gammaproteobacteria; Enterobacterales; Enterobacteriaceae. The record is from RNAcentral.